UACAGAGGCCUCAAGCGUUGUUCGGAUUUAUUGGGCGUAAAGGGUGCGUAGGCGGUACCGAAAGUUAGGUGUGAAAGUUCGAGGCUUAACCUCGAAAUUGCACCUAAUACUCCGGUGCUUGAGUCUCAUAGAGGAAUCUGGAAUUCACGGUGUAGCAGUGAAAUGCGUAGAUAUCGUGAAGAAGGCCUGUGGCGAAAGCAAGAUUCUGGGUGACGACUGACGCUGAGGCGCGAAAGCCAGGGGAGCAAACGGG
Molecule: ribosomal RNA, 253 nt
Filed under: uncultured bacterium
Lineage: Bacteria
Description: partial 16S ribosomal RNA
Rfam family: Bacterial small subunit ribosomal RNA
Source: RNAcentral